GUGACAGAAGAGAGUGAGCACACAGGGUUCUUUCUUGCAUGAGUGCCUCAUGCUUGAAACUUUAUGUGCUUGCUCUCCUUCCGUCAC
This 87-nucleotide microRNA precursor is filed under the name Theobroma cacao (cacao). RNAcentral describes it as "mir-156 microRNA precursor family". It matches the Rfam family "mir-156 microRNA precursor family". Rfam says of the family: This family represents the plant microRNA (miRNA) precursor mir-156. Lineage: Eukaryota; Viridiplantae; Streptophyta; Magnoliopsida; Malvales; Malvaceae. The record is from Rfam by way of RNAcentral.